This 352-nucleotide ribosomal RNA is filed under the name Nitrososphaerota archaeon. Its description in RNAcentral is "bacterial SSU rRNA". It matches the Rfam family "Archaeal small subunit ribosomal RNA", at positions 1 to 358 of the family's 1478-position model. Lineage: Archaea; Thermoproteati; Nitrososphaerota. The record is from RNAcentral.
AAUCCGUUUGAUCCUGACGGACCUGACUGCUAUCAGAUUGAUAUUAAGCCAUGUUAGUCAUUGUAGUAAUACAAGGCGGACAGCUCAGUAACACGUAGUCAACCUAACUUAUGGACGGAAAUAACCUCGGGAAACUGAGGAUAAUGUCCGAUAGAUCAUUAUGCCUGGAACGGUUUAUGGUCGAAACGAAUAUCGCCGUAGGAUGGGACUGCGAGCUAUCAGCUUGUUGGUGAGGUAAUGGCCCACCAAGGCAAUUACAGCUACGGGCUCUGAGAGGAGUAGCCCGGAGAUGGGUACUGAGACAAGGACCCAGGCCCUAUGGGGCGCAGCAGGCGAGAAAACUUUGCAAUGU